GACCAGACUCCUACGGGAGGCAGCAGUGGGGAAUAUUGGGUAAUGGACGCAAGUCUGACCCAGCAACGCCGCGUGAAGGAAGAAGGCUUUCGGGUUGUAAACUUCUUUUAAGGGGGAAGAGCAGAAGACGGUACCCCUUGAAUAAGCCUCGGCUAACUACGUGCCAGCAGCCGCGGUAAUACGUAGGAGGCAAGCGUUAUCCGGAAUGACUGGGCGUAAAGGGUGCGUAGGUGGUUUGACAAGUUGGUAGCGUAACUCCGGGGCUCAACCUCGGCACUACUACCAAAACUGUUGGACUUGAGUGCAGGAGGGGCAAAUGGAAUUCCUAGUGUAGCGGUGGAAUGCGUAGAUAUUAGGAGGAACACCAGUGGCGAAGGCGAUUUGCUGGACUGUAACUGACACUGAGGCACGAAAGCGUGGGGAGCAAACAGGAUUAGAUACCCGAGUA
This 448-nucleotide ribosomal RNA is filed under the name uncultured bacterium. Its description in RNAcentral is "bacterial SSU rRNA". It matches the Rfam family "Bacterial small subunit ribosomal RNA", at positions 329 to 792 of the family's 1533-position model. The record is from RNAcentral.